This 960-nucleotide ribosomal RNA is filed under the name uncultured bacterium. RNAcentral's name for it is "bacterial SSU rRNA". It matches the Rfam family "Bacterial small subunit ribosomal RNA", at positions 50 to 1029 of the family's 1533-position model. The record is from RNAcentral.
AAGGCAUGCAAGUCGAACGAGUACUUCGGGUACGAGUGGCAGACGGGAGCGUAACACACUGGUAACCUACCCCGAAGUUCGGAAUAACCUGUCGAAAGACGGGCUAAUACCGGAUGUGCUCUGUACAUACUUUGUACCGAGUAAAGAUUUAUCGCUUCGGGAGGGGCCUAUGGUCUAUCAGCUUGUUGGUGAGGUAAUGGCUCACCAAGGCGAUGACGGAUAGCGGGCGUGAGAGCGUGACCCGCCUCACUGGGACUGAAACACUGCCCAGACUCCUACGGGAGGCUGCAGUCAAGAAUCUUCCCCAAUGGCCGAAAGGCUGAGGGAGCGACGCCGCGUGCAGGAAGAAGCUCUUCGGAGUGUAAACUGCUUUUCUGGAGGAAAAACUAAUGAUGGUACUCCAGGAAUAAGGGGCUGCUAACUUCGUGCCAGCAGCAGCGGUAAUACGAAGGCCCCGAGCGUUAUCCGGAUUUACUGGGCGUAAAGAGCUCAAAGGCGGCUUUCUAAGUCUUCGGUUAAAUCCUGGUGCUCAACAUCAGAACCGCCGAAGAAACUAGAAAGCUCGAGGGCAGGAGAGGUAGACGGAAUUGCCGGUGUAGUAGUAAAAUGCGUUAAUAUCGGCAGGAACACCAAUUGCGAAGGCAGUCUACUGGAAUGACCCUGACGCUACACGAGCGAAAGCGUGGGUAGCGAUACGGAUUAGAUACCCGUGUAGUCCACGCCGUAAACGAUGGAUACUAGGCAUUGGGAGUAUCGACCCUCUCAGUGUCGGCUCACAAGCUAACGCAUUAAGUAUCCCGCCUGGGGAGUACGGCCGCAAGGCUAAAACUCAAAGGAAUUGACGGGAACCCGCACAAGCGGUGGAGCAUGUGGUUUAAUUCGACGAUAACCGAGGAACCUUACCAGGGCUUGAAAUCCUAGCUGCACAGCCACAGAAACGUGGCUUCCUACGAGGGUGCU